ACUUGGAUAUGGAUUCUUCACGGUAACGUAACUGAAUGUGGAGACGUCGGCUCGAGCCCUGGGAGGAGUUAUCUUUUCUUCUUAACAGCUUAUCACCCUGGAAUUGGUUUAUCCGGAGAUGGGGUCUUAUGGCUGGAAGAGGCCAGCACCUUUGCUGGCUCCGGUGCGCGCGUGACGGCCCGUGAAAAUCCACAGGAAGGAAUAGUUUUCAUGCUAGGUCGUACU
This 225-nucleotide ribosomal RNA is filed under the name Naumovozyma dairenensis. RNAcentral describes it as "partial 26S ribosomal RNA". It matches the Rfam family "Eukaryotic large subunit ribosomal RNA", at positions 1623 to 1848 of the family's 3401-position model. The record is from RNAcentral. Lineage: Eukaryota; Fungi; Ascomycota; Saccharomycetes; Saccharomycetales; Saccharomycetaceae.